UAGGGAAUCUUCCGCAAUGGGCGAAAGCCUGACGGAGCAACGCCGCGUGAGUGAUGAAGGUCUUCGGAUCGUAAAACUCUGUUAUUCGGGAAGAACAAAUGUGUAAUUAACUAUGCACGUCUUGACGGUACCUAAUCAGAAAGCCACGGCUAACUACGUGCCAGCAGCCGCGGUAAUACGUAGGUGGCAAGCGUUAUCCGGAAUUAUUGGGCGUAAAGCGCGCGUAGGCGGUUUUUUAAGUCUGAUGUGAAAGCCCACGGCUCAACCGUGGAGGGUCAUUGGAAACUGGAAAACUUGAGUGCAGGAGAGGAAAGUGGAAUUCCAUGUGUAGCGGUGAAAUGCGCAGAGAUAUGGAGGAACACCAGUGGCGAAGGCGACUUUCUGGUCUGUAACUGACGCUGAUGUGCGAAAGCGUGGGGAUCAAACAGG
This 429-nucleotide ribosomal RNA is filed under the name Actinomycetes bacterium. RNAcentral's name for it is "Actinobacteria bacterium partial 16S ribosomal RNA". It matches the Rfam family "Bacterial small subunit ribosomal RNA", at positions 355 to 776 of the family's 1533-position model. The record is from RNAcentral. Lineage: Bacteria; Bacillati; Actinomycetota; Actinomycetes.